GACGAACGCUGGCGGCGUGCUUAACACAUGCAAAUCGAACGGAAAGGCCCCUUUGGGGGUACUCGAGUGGCGAACGGGUGAGUAACACGUGAGUAACCUGCCCUUGACUUCGGGAUAACUUCAGGAAACUGGGGCUAAUACCGGAUAGGAAUCCUUGCUGCAUGGUGGGGGUUGGAAAGCUUCGGCGGUUUUGGAUGGACUCGCGGCUUAUCAGCUUGUUGGUGGGGUAGUGGCUUACCAAGGCUUUGACGGGUAGCCGGCCUGAGAGGGCGACCGGCCACAUUGGGACUGAGAUACGGCCCAGACUCCUACGGGAGGCAGCAGUGGGGAAUAUUGCACAAUGGGCGGAAGCCUGAUGCAGCAACGCCGCGUGCGGGAUGACGGCCUUCGGGUUGUAAACCGCUUUCAGCAGGGGCGAAGCUUGUGGUGACGGUACCUGCAGAAGAAGCACCGGCUAACUACGUG
RNAcentral lists this ribosomal RNA (465 nucleotides) under uncultured bacterium. RNAcentral describes it as "partial 16S ribosomal RNA". It matches the Rfam family "Bacterial small subunit ribosomal RNA", at positions 28 to 507 of the family's 1533-position model. The record is from RNAcentral.